GAUGCUUCUUGGCCUGUUGGCUAAGAUGUAGCAUCUGCUUUUAUCAGUUUAAUAUCUGAUACAUUCCCUAUAUGAGGCCUGGUAUUGCAUUGCCUCCAGGAGCAGCGCACCUCCC
Small nuclear RNA from Pygocentrus nattereri (red-bellied piranha), 115 nucleotides. Its record names the gene U2. It matches the Rfam family "U2 spliceosomal RNA". From Rfam's summary of the family: U2 is a small nuclear RNA (snRNA) component of the spliceosome (involved in pre-mRNA splicing). Complementary binding between U2 snRNA (in an area lying towards the 5' end but 3' to hairpin I) and the branchpoint sequence (BPS) of the intron results the bulging out of an unpaired adenosine, on the BPS, which initiates a nucleophilic attack at the intronic 5' splice site, thus starting the first of two transesterification reactions that mediate splicing. The record is from Ensembl. NCBI's taxonomy places the organism in Eukaryota, Metazoa, Chordata, Actinopteri, Characiformes, Serrasalmidae.